AUUGAACGCUGGCGGCAGGCCUAACACAUGCAAGUCGAGCGGAUGAAGGGAGCUUGCUCCUGGAUUCAGCGGCGGACGGGUGAGUAAUGCCUAGGAAUCUGCCUGGUAGUGGGGGAUAACGUCCGGAAACGGGCGCUAAUACCGCAUACGUCCUGAGGGAGAAAGUGGGGGAUCUUCGGACCUCACGCUAUCAGAUGAGCCUAGGUCGGAUUAGCUAGUUGGUGGGGUAAAGGCCUACCAAGGCGACGAUCCGUAACUGGUCUGAGAGGAGGAUCAGUCACACUGGAACUGAGACACGGUCCAGCCUCCUACGGGAGGCAGCAGUGGGGAAUAUUGGACAAUGGGCGAAAGCCUGAUCCAGCCAUGCCGCGUGUGUGAAGAAGGUCUUCGGAUUGUAAAGCACUUUAAGUUGGGAGGAAGGGCAGUAAGUUAAUACCUUGCUGUUUUGACGUUACCAACAGAAUAAGCACCGGCUAACUUCGU
This 483-nucleotide ribosomal RNA is filed under the name uncultured bacterium. RNAcentral's name for it is "partial 16S ribosomal RNA". It matches the Rfam family "Bacterial small subunit ribosomal RNA", at positions 30 to 506 of the family's 1533-position model. The record is from RNAcentral.